GUGAACGCUGGCGGUAGGCCUAACACAUGCAAGUCGAACGGCAGCACAGUAAGAGCUUGCUCUUACGGGUGGCGAGUGGCGGACGGGUGAGGAAUACAUCGGAAUCUACUUUUUCGUGGGGGAUAACGUAGGGAAACUUACGCUAAUACCGCAUACGACCUACGGGUGAAAGCAGGGGAUCUUCGGACCUUGCGCGAUUGAAUGAGCCGAUGUCGGAUUAGCUAGUUGGCGGGGUAAAGGCCCACCAAGGCGACGAUCCGUAGCUGGUCUGAGAGGAUGAUCAGCCACACUGGAACUGAGACACGGUCCAGACUCCUACGGGAGGCAGCAGUGGGGAAUAUUGGACAAAGGGCGCAAGCCUGAUCCAGCCAUACCGCGUGGGUGAAGAAGGCCUUCGGGUUGUAAAGCCCUUUUGUUGGGAAAGAAAAGCAGCAGGUUAAUACCCCGCUGUUCUGACGGGACCCAAAGAAUAAGCACCGGCUAACUUCGUG
This 491-nucleotide ribosomal RNA is filed under the name uncultured bacterium. RNAcentral's name for it is "partial 16S ribosomal RNA". It matches the Rfam family "Bacterial small subunit ribosomal RNA", at positions 29 to 507 of the family's 1533-position model. The record is from RNAcentral.